Molecule: long non-coding RNA, 1015 nt
Organism: Plodia interpunctella (Indianmeal moth)
Lineage: Eukaryota; Metazoa; Arthropoda; Insecta; Lepidoptera; Pyralidae
Exons: 3
Source: RefSeq, a predicted model, not a curated record
UCGCUUUGCAAGACCAAAGUUCUGAAAACAUUUUCUCUUAUAAUUGAAAAAGAACUAUAACUAUGAGAAUCAUUAAAAAUCUGCAUAGCAUAGUAAUUUUAUUGUGCAGAUAAUAAUAAGCAGAAGAUAUACUAUGAAAUAAUGUAACGCCUAAACAUUGUCGAUAUAUACAUAUAAAACCAAUGUGUGCAUUUGUCUUUACGGCCGUAUUCUGUGUCGUAGCAGUGGCAGCAGGAAUAUGGGCUAUGUUGAAAUGUUUCUUUGGUUGGUUAUUCUAAAGUUCCAGACUAAUGAUAAUGUAUUUACGGUAUAAGCUAUGCCCACUUGCCAUUAUGUGCACUAUAAUCGUUAUUUGUACGUUAUAGUGACGUUUUAUACUAUGUAAGAAAGAAAGAUAUAUAGUUUUAUACGCUUGUUUUAUAGCUGUGAAACCAGCUUGGACCAACUUCACUGUUCUGUCACGUUUUGUCGACAUACGUUUGAUAUUUUACUACAGUACGAUGGCGUAUGUCCGUCGCCGUGCUGUAAUUGUAGCAUGCGAUACUGCGUUGAUAUGUUGACGAAGCGCAACGGAGCAGUGAGGCCUCGCUUAUGGGUUAUUCUAUUUAAAUUUUGAUAUACUAAAAACAAAGAACGAUUGAAAUAGUGGUGGUGAAAUAGUAAGGCCCGAAUGGUUAAGAGGCCUGUGGAUCGAUAGGUUUGAAUUCUACUCGUGCCGCAUGAGUUUGUAUACCAGUCUGACUCAUGUAGUUUUGAUAGAUCACUACCUGACUACCCUUCAGGUGAAGGAAAACAUCGUGAGGAAACCUGCACACUGGUUGAUUAUUAGCUUGUGUAUGAAAUGGAGAAGGCAAUGGCAAACUACUCGAUUAAUAGUACCAAGAAAGUUGUUGUAUGCGUUUCACUCCACGUAAUGACCACGACCCUCAGCCAUGAGGAAAUAUGACUAUGAAGAAGGAUCUAAAAAUAAUUUAACUAUAUAGAGAAGGAUUUGAGUGAGACAAUAUAGUUAAGA